This 1849-nucleotide long non-coding RNA is filed under the name Triticum aestivum (bread wheat). RNAcentral's name for it is "long non-coding RNA (TAES_LNC005097)". The record is from RNAcentral. Lineage: Eukaryota; Viridiplantae; Streptophyta; Magnoliopsida; Poales; Poaceae.
AGAUGAAGGCCGUCGAAGAUCACAAGCGCAGCUUGCUAUUGUACAGGUUUAGAAUUUAGAAAGGUGACCUAUUUUUUCAUGUGAACUUACCUAUUCUUUGCUAUUCAGAAUGAUUAUUUAUCUUCCCAUUGCUGUGUUAAUUGAUUCAUAUGCGGUUCUGCUAUUCUGACAAGGAUAUCCAUCAAGGUUAUUUGGAGGGACAUAAUGAAACGUCACAAGUUCUACUUUGCUGAUUCUUUCAGAGAAUUGUUUCAUUACAAAUGCGCUGUCGCGGACAUGUAUUAAUCCCAAAUUCCAAAUCACUCUGGAAUCCAGUCAAAAUCCAGUCAAAAUCACUCUGGAAUCCUUCUCCGUAAUUGAUUCGCAAACUACUCUCAAGGACUGCUCUGAACCUCAAAUAUCGUGGGCACAUGAAGUUGUGGUGUGAUUUUUACAGAAACAAGUGAUCCAGGCAGCAAGGUAUUGAUUGAUGCAACUAUGUUGUAAUGUUUCAGUGACUGUUAAUAUUUUUUUAGGAAGGAUAACCAAUUUAGAUGAUACCCAAGGAGUUCUGGAUGGGAGAUUGUUUAUUUCUACGUCGUGCAAUUCAACAUUUCAGUACUAAAAGUAUUUUUCAUGUUAUCUAGAUUGGGGUACAUCCUUUGUAAACUAAUAUGAGGCCUUUUAGGUCACGGAAGUAGUGACCUAAAAGCUCUUGUUUACAGAGGGGUUUGAUUUGUGAGGUCCGAGCGCGGGCAGCGGCCGGCGGUGGAGGUGGAAAAAGAAGUCUGGCAUGGGUUGAUUUAGUUUGAACACGAAUCCAUCAGGAUCGCCCUGAUCUGUACACGUAGACAUAACAAACAAACAAAACAUGUGUGUUCAUACCUGGGGUUGAAACCGUACAGCGUCGCCGAUCGCACGUUCCGUGGCGGCGCGUGAUCCAAAAACUGCCAGCGAUCCAGAAACGUGGCGGCGACAGUCGUUCCGCGGCGGCGGUGCUGUGGAGUGCGCAGAUCGCACGACGGCUGCGCAGAUCUGAUCGGCAGCGGGGUAUGGGGAUUGGCGGCGGGGUAUGGGGCAUGGGGAUCCUGAUGGGCGGCAGGGCGCAGUUUCUUUGGCUACCUGCGUGGGUGGGGUUCGGUGUGUGGGUGUGGGGGUGGGGGUAAUUUGAUGGAAUAAAAACCAGACGAAAAAAACCGGUUGACUCUGCUGGAUACAAGUUAAGAAUUCAAGAUGCUAAGAUGUCCUGUUCAUCUGACCGCAGGCAGAUGAAGGCCGUCGAAGAUCACAAGCGCAGCUUGCUAUUGUACAGGUUUAGAAUUUAGAAAGGUGACCUAUUUUUUCAUGUGAACUUACCUAUUCUUUGCUAUUCAGAAUGAUUAUUUAUCUUCCCAUUGCUGUGUUAAUUGAUUCAUAUGCGGUUCUGCUAUUCUGACAAGGAUAUCCAUCAAGGUUAUUUGGAGGGACAUAAUGAAACGUUACAAGUUCUACUUUGCUGAUUCUUUCAGAGAAUUGUUUCAUUACAAAUGCGCUGUCGCGGACAUGUAUUAAUCCCAAAUUCCAAAUCACUCUGGAAUCCAGUCAAAAUCCAGUCAAAAUCACUCUGGAAUCCUUCUCCGUAAUUGAUUCGCAAACUACUCUCAAGGACUGCUCUGAACCUCAAAUAUCGUGGGCACAUGAAGUUGUGGUGUAAUUUUUACAGAAACAAGUGAUCCAGGCAGCAAGGUAUUGAUUGAUGCAACUAUGUUGUAAUGUUUCAGUGACUGUUAAUAUUUUUUUAGGAAGGAUAACCAAUUCAGAUGAUACCCAAGGAGUUUUGGAUGGGAGAUUGUUGUAGGGGUACGUAGCAGAAAAUAAAAUUUUUCCUAUG